GUGGCUCAGCGGUAGAGCAUCGCCUUGCCAAGGCGAGGGUCGCGGGUUCGAUUCCCGUC
This 59-nucleotide transfer RNA is filed under the name Paenibacillus polymyxa. RNAcentral describes it as "tRNA-Gly". It matches the Rfam family "tRNA", at positions 7 to 64 of the family's 71-position model. Rfam says of the family: Transfer RNA (tRNA) molecules are approximately 80 nucleotides in length. Their secondary structure includes four short double-helical elements and three loops (D, anti-codon, and T loops). The record is from RNAcentral. Lineage: Bacteria; Bacillati; Bacillota; Bacilli; Caryophanales; Paenibacillaceae.